RNAcentral lists this ribosomal RNA (460 nucleotides) under uncultured bacterium. Its description in RNAcentral is "partial 16S ribosomal RNA". It matches the Rfam family "Bacterial small subunit ribosomal RNA", at positions 338 to 795 of the family's 1533-position model. The record is from RNAcentral.
CCUACGGGCGGCAGCAGUGAGGAAUAUUGGUCAAUGGGCGCGAGUCUGAACCAGCCAAGUAGCGUGAAGGAUGACUGCCCUACGGGUUGUAAACUUCUUUUAUAUAGGAAUACAAUGAUGCACGUGUGCCAUUUUUUAUGUACUUUAUGAAUAAGGAUCGGCUAACUCCGUGCCAGCAGCCGCGGUAAUACGGAGGAUCCGAGCGUUAUCCGGAUUUAUUGGGUUUAAAGGGAGCGUAGGUGGGUUGUUAAGUAAGUUGUGAAAGUUUGCGGCUCAACCGUAAAAUUGCAGUUGAUACUGGCAGCCUUGAGUACAGUAGAGGUGGGCGGAAUUCGUGGUGUAGCGGUGAAAUGCUUAGAUAUCACGAAGAACUCCGAUGGCGAAGGCAGUUCACUGGACUGCAACUGACACUGAGGCUCGAAAGUGUGGGUAUCAAACAGGAUUAGAUACCCUGGUAGUC